RNAcentral lists this ribosomal RNA (250 nucleotides) under uncultured bacterium. RNAcentral's name for it is "partial 16S ribosomal RNA". It matches the Rfam family "Bacterial small subunit ribosomal RNA", at positions 524 to 773 of the family's 1533-position model. The record is from RNAcentral.
UACGGAGGGGGUUAGCGUUGUUCGGAAUUACUGGGCGUAAAGCGCACGUAGGCGGGCUGUUAAGUCGGGGGUGAAAUCCCGGGGCUCAACCCCGGAACUGCCUUCGAUACUGGCAGCCUAGAGGUCGAGAGAGGUGAGUGGAAUUCCGAGUGUAGAGGUGAAAUUCGUAGAUAUUCGGAGGAACACCAGUGGCGAAGGCGGCUCACUGGCUCGAUACUGACGCUGAGGUGCGAAAGCGUGGGGAGCAAAC